Molecule: ribosomal RNA, 757 nt
Filed under: Staphylococcus carnosus
Lineage: Bacteria; Bacillati; Bacillota; Bacilli; Caryophanales; Staphylococcaceae
Description: bacterial SSU rRNA
Rfam family: Bacterial small subunit ribosomal RNA
Source: RNAcentral
AUACAUGCAAGUCGAGCGAACAGACGAGGAGCUUGCUCCUCUGACGUUAGCGGCGGACGGGUGAGUAACACGUGGGUAACCUACCUAUAAGACUGGAAUAACUCCGGGAAACCGGGGCUAAUGCCGGAUAAUAUGCGGAACCGCAUGGUUCCGCAAUGAAAGACGGUUUUGCUGUCACUUAUAGAUGGACCCGCGCCGUAUUAGCUAGUUGGUAAGGUAACGGCUUACCAAGGCAACGAUACGUAGCCGACCUGAGAGGGUGAUCGGCCACACUGGAACUGAGACACGGUCCAGACUCCUACGGGAGGCAGCAGUAGGGAAUCUUCCGCAAUGGGCGAAAGCCUGACGGAGCAACGCCGCGUGAGUGAUGAAGGUCUUCGGAUCGUAAAACUCUGUUAUUAGGGAAGAACAAGUGCGUAGGUAACUAUGCGCACCUUGACGGUACCUAAUCAGAAAGCCACGGCUAACUACGUGCCAGCAGCCGCGGUAAUACGUAGGUGGCAAGCGUUAUCCGGAAUUAUUGGGCGUAAAGCGCGCGUAGGCGGUUUUUUAAGUCUGAUGUGAAAGCCCACGGCUCAACCGUGGGGGGUCAUUGGAAACUGGAAAACUUGAGUGCAGAAGAGGAAAGUGGAAUUCCAUGUGUAGCGGUGAAAUGCGCAGAGAUAUGGAGGAACACCAGUGGCGAAGGCGACUUUCUGGUCUGCAACUGACGCUGAUGUGCGAAAGCGUGGGGAUCAAACAGGAUUAGAUACCCUGG